GUGCCAGCAGCCGCGGUAAUACGUAGGGCGCAAGCGUUGUCCGGAAUUAUUGGGCGUAAAGAGCUCGUAGGCGGCUUGUCGCGUCUGCCGUGAAAGUCUAAGGCUUAACCUUAGAUCUGCGGUGGGUACGGGCAGGCUAGAGUGCGGUAGGGGUGACUGGAAUUCCUGGUGUAGCGGUGGAAUGCGCAGAUAUCAGGAGGAACACCGAUGGCGAAGGCAGGUCACUGGGCCGCAACUGACGCUGAGGAGCGAAAGCAUGGGGAGCGAACAGGAUUAGAAACCCCAGUAGUCC
Molecule: ribosomal RNA, 292 nt
Filed under: uncultured prokaryote
Description: partial 16S ribosomal RNA
Rfam family: Bacterial small subunit ribosomal RNA
Source: RNAcentral